CCUACGGGAGGCAGCAGUGAGGAAUAUUGGACAAUGGGCGCAAGCCUGAUCCAGCCAUGCCGCGUGCAGGAAGAAGCAUCUAUGGUGUGUAAACUGCUUUUGUACAGGAAGAAACACUCCCUCGUGAGGGAGCUUGACGGUACUGUAAGAAUAAGGACCGGCUAACUCCGUGCCAGCAGCCGCGGUAAUACGGAGGGUCCGAGCGUUAUCCGGAAUCAUUGGGUUUAAAGGGUCCGUAGGCGGUUUAAUAAGUCAGUGGUGAAAUCUGGUCGCUCAACGAUCAAACGGCCAUUGAUACUGUUAGACUUGAAUUAUAAGGAAGUAACUAGAAUAUGUAGUGUAGCGGUGAAAUGCUUAGAUAUUACAUGGAAUACCAAUUGCGAAGGCAGGUUACUACUUAUGGAUUGACGCUGAUGGACGAAAGCGUAGGGGAGCGAACAGGAUUAGAUACCCUGGUAGUCCACGCCGUAAACGAUAGGAUACUAGCUGUUCGGAGCAAUNUGAGUGAGUAGAGAAGUAGAGUAAGUACGUACCGACCGUACGGGUAGGUAACGGUUACGUACGAAGAAGUAAGUUAAACGUUAACGAAAGGUUAAGUUAGGACGGCGAGAGACGACGACGACGACGACGACGAGGGAGGAGG
RNAcentral lists this ribosomal RNA (643 nucleotides) under uncultured bacterium. RNAcentral's name for it is "bacterial SSU rRNA". The stretch from base 1 to 534 matches the Rfam family "Bacterial small subunit ribosomal RNA", at positions 338 to 873 of the family's 1533-position model. The record is from RNAcentral.